Molecule: ribosomal RNA, 254 nt
Filed under: uncultured bacterium
Lineage: Bacteria
Description: partial 16S ribosomal RNA
Rfam family: Bacterial small subunit ribosomal RNA
Source: RNAcentral
UACGUAGGGUGCAAGCGUUGUCCGGAAUUAUUGGGCGUAAAGAGCUCGUAGGCGGUCUGUCGCGUCUGCUGUGAAAUCCCAGGGCUCAACCCUGGGCGUGCAGUGGAUACGGGCAGGCUGGAGGCAGGCAGGGGAGAACGGAAUUCCCGGUGUAGCAGGUGAAAUGCGCAGAUAUCGGGAGGAACACCGGUGGCGAAGGCGGUUCUCUGGGCCUGUACUGACGCUGAGGAGCGAAAGCGUGGGGAGCGAACAGG